AAAAAAGAUAAACACUAGUUUCCGUGUCCAACGUUUUAACGUCCAUCUUAUUUAGAAAAAUUAUGAAAAAAAUUAAAAAGAUAAGUCACGUAUAAAGUAUUAAUCAUGUUUUAUCAUCUAACAACAAUGAAAAUACUAAUUAUAAAAAAAAUUAUAUAAGACGGACAGUCAAACGUUGGCACGGAAAUCCAGGAUUUGUCUUUUU
Molecule: microRNA precursor, 205 nt
Organism: Oryza sativa Japonica Group (Japanese rice)
Lineage: Eukaryota; Viridiplantae; Streptophyta; Magnoliopsida; Poales; Poaceae
Rfam family: MIR812 microRNA precursor family
Source: Rfam